RNAcentral lists this long non-coding RNA (2012 nucleotides) under Olea europaea subsp. europaea. Lineage: Eukaryota; Viridiplantae; Streptophyta; Magnoliopsida; Lamiales; Oleaceae. The record is from RNAcentral.
CUUUAUGAAGGUGUCCUUUCUAAAUGUGGAAAAUUUUGAAAAGUUUUGCAUGAAUGACAUUUUUUUUUAUUGGCACAAAUGUCCUCUAUACAAUUUUCUAAACAAAAGCCUCAUCUUCUCUCUUCCAACCACCACUUGUUCUAGGGGCGGAGCCAACUACAGACCAGUGAGGGUAGGUGCCCGCACUGGGAUUUCAAGCACUGAAAUUUUAGGCAGUAGAUGAAGACGGUGCCAGCACUGAGAAUUCCGACAGAUCCAGGCAUCACUUGAAGUCAAAGAGUUGAGCGCAGAGUGGAAACCUGGAAGUGGAAGAAGGGUAUAAGGGUUUUUUCUUAAGCUAACUAAUAAUUUUUUUCUAAACUGUAACCUGUAAGCCUUUUCUGUCCAUACCAAGAAGAGAAGAAAAUUCCAGAGCCGCCAUCGCAGUGAAGACUGAAGAGCAGGGAUGAAUUGAUGGGGAAGGUGAGUUGUUGGGCCAUUUUUUUUAAAAAAAAUUGUGGGCUUUUUGUUAAAUUGGGCUUUUCUUAACAUUAACCCAUGAUCAUAGCCCAUAUGCCUACAUCAGUUAAAACCGUUCCCACUGACCAAGGUAACACAGACAGUAGACCAAAUCUGGUAAAUCGAUUGAAACCCUAUCUUUGAUUCUAAGCUGAGGGAGCCUCGACGCUGCGAUGCCACUGCUUGAUCUCGGAUUGCUAUAUUGGCUCCAACGUUUGCCCAAUUGAAAGGCUCGAUUUCUGGUGUCAAUGCAAGUUCUGGGGUCAGGUAAAGGUUGAAGGUGGUUGGAAAUCCUAGUUGAUUAUAUUUUUGUAGUUCAAGCUGUUCAGCUAUUGUUUCAUAAAUAUAUGCACAAAACAUGCCUCUUUGCUCAUAUAAAUGUGUACAAUGUGUUUUGAGUUUUUGUUUGUGCAUCUCCAUUAAUUAUACUACUUUAGGCCCCCAAAAAAUUUACUGUAGCGGACACCUAAAUUUGUGCCUGCACUGGACAAAGUACUUGGCUCUGCCCUUGAUCUGUUCGAUCCCACUACCUCUAAUAGUGACAUACUGUACCAAACUACGAGAAGAAAAAAAAUGAGAUUUACGUAUAAUUUCACCACAUAUGACAUUCAGAGUUAAUUAUGAAGCAUACCUUGAUGACAUGAAUUCAUUUUGGCAGGACUAUUGAAAAUAGUCGAUUUAGAUAUGUUCAGUUGGCAAACUUUCAAGCAUAACCCAUCUUGAAUUUACAACAAGAAAAAAUCAAAUUACAGGUUAAAGAUUGAAUUUAAAUGGACAUCCAAAAAGGGAUAAGAAAAAGAGGAGAAAAUGAACAACACUUUUUUAAGAAUGAAGUCUGGGAGAAUAAUUUUUUAAUUUUGUACUAGACUGAUAAAUUGAAAAAUGUUAAAUAUUAAAUAAGCUUAGGGCAUCGUCAUGCUAAAAUCCCAGGCAGCCAUUUCCAUUCACUCUUGUGCUUUUGCUUUUCGUAUUAUUUUUAAUUUAAAAUUUAUUAAACCAUAUUUUCAAAAGUGUGUAUGGAAUUAGUUGAAGAUGGGUGGUGGUUGGAGUGGGAAAGAAGAUGGUGGUGGUGUCCAUGUAGGGAUGGGUGGAUGUGACGAUGUUCGGGAUGUAAAAUGAGGCAACUUUCAUGCUCGGGUCGAGUGCCGAAUCAAAGUGGAUCAAUGUGAUAGAAGCGGAUGAAGUUGGAGCCAAAGUCAGCAACUACGCGACCGCAUAGUUCAUCCAAUGAUGCGGUCCCAUACAACCAGGCAAGGAAUUUUUGGGCGUCAAAGGCUUCUUCUAUGCGACCACAGAGAAAAAAUUUAGGCGAAUAUUUUCUUUUUGGGGAUUUUCCAUAUUAGGCUAGAUUUUAUUCUUAUUUCAUAUUAUCGUAAUCUUUGACUUAUAUUGCACGAAUUCUACUAGAUUUUAAGGGUUUGAUACUUAAUAUAAACAUAGGCUUUAUUUCUUCAUUGUAAUACACGACAUUGCACAAAUUUAUUCAAUAAAUUGAGAGAAUCCUUUGAGAGGCA